This 253-nucleotide ribosomal RNA is filed under the name uncultured bacterium. Its description in RNAcentral is "partial 16S ribosomal RNA". It matches the Rfam family "Bacterial small subunit ribosomal RNA", at positions 524 to 776 of the family's 1533-position model. The record is from RNAcentral.
UACGUAGGGUGCAAGCGUUGUCCGGAAUUAUUGGGCGUAAAGAGCUCGUAGGCGGUCUGUCGCGUCUGCUGUGAAAACUCAGGGCUUAACCCUGAGCUUGCAGUGGGUACGGGCAGACUAGAGUGCGGUAGGGGAGACUGGAAUUCCUGGUGUAGCGGUGGAAUGCGCAGAUAUCAGGAGGAACACCGGUGGCGAAAGCGCUUGUCUGGCCCAAUACUGACGCUGAUGCGCGAAAGCUAGGGGAGCAAACGGG